UACGGAGGGGGCGAGCGUUAUUCGGAAUUAUUGGGCGUAAAGGGCGCGUAGGCGGCCUUGUAAGUCAAAGGUGAAAUCCCUCGGCUCAACUGAGGAACUGCCUUUGAAACUGCAAGGCUUGAGGCUGGGAGGGGGUAGCGGAAUUCCCAAUGUAGCGGUGAAAUGCGUAGAUAUUGGGAGGAACACCAGUGGCGAAGGCGGCUACCUGGACCGGUUCUGACGCUGAGGCGCGAAAGCGUGGGGAGCAAACAGG
This 253-nucleotide ribosomal RNA is filed under the name uncultured bacterium. RNAcentral describes it as "partial 16S ribosomal RNA". It matches the Rfam family "Bacterial small subunit ribosomal RNA", at positions 524 to 776 of the family's 1533-position model. The record is from RNAcentral.